UUCUGAAACAGUAUGGAGCUCAAAUGCUUUUUCUCUUGCAGGUUUAUCACAAGUGAGGUGGACUGGUGAUAGCUUUGAGAAUGGAUGAGCAGAUUGAAGAGGACUACAGCGAGGAAAGGCUUGCAUGAUGACGUCCAGACAGUCCUGCGAAGCUCUGAUGUGAAGGACCAGUUUAUUCUCGGUAACAAGGGGAGUAAGAAGUCACUGGGAAUGAGGUGAGAGGGCUGCGUGUGGGGUACACACUUUUAAUUGAGGGGAGGAAAAUGUGCAUCAGUAGUGUUGUGAGGGGCGGAGGGCGAUCUUCAGAGGCCAAUUAAUUUGGAAUACAAAGCAGCGGGGCAAUCUGCUCAGGUUUCUGUCCUGGUGCGUGGCUAGCACACACCGGCCAUGUCUCUGAGGCAUCCAAGAUCAAAUUAAUUUAAACACUCCUCCAACCUCCCUCCAACUCCACCAAUCCACCUCUACUCCCCCACACUGUCUCUACCUCUGUUUAUUGCAACUGUGAACUCUCCAUAGAAAAUCUCUCCCUACAGCACAAAUUCAUACUAUUAUCCCACACCGAAUCUUUUUCUCUCUUUCUCACACUGAGAGGAGUCUUUUAACUCAGCCAAAAAUAACCAAUACUUUCCCCUUCAGACUGCUGUUUGUGUGCGAAGAAAACUGAAAUGGCCAAACCCAUUCCUGGAUUUGAUCCUUUAAAUCAGUGUUUAUCAACCUUUUCUGAACCGCAGUACAUUUCUUACAAUAAGAAUAUCCCACAGCACAUCAACAACCGAAAAAGUUAGCUUCAUAUAUAAUGACAAUUUAAUGUAAUUUAGCGACGACUUAAGCUAAUAAUUGACAGACCUCUCAGACACCUUUGUGAUUUCUCUCAUAACAGUUACCUGUUUCUCAGUUUCACUCA
Molecule: long non-coding RNA, 904 nt
Organism: Gymnodraco acuticeps
Lineage: Eukaryota; Metazoa; Chordata; Actinopteri; Perciformes; Bathydraconidae
Exons: 3
Source: RefSeq, a predicted model, not a curated record